GACGAACGCUGGCGGCGUGCUUAACACAUGCAAGUCGAACGGGAAGGCCCUGCUUUUGUGGGGUGCUCGAGUGGCGAACGGGUGAGUAACACGUGAGUAACCUUCCCUUGACUUUGGGAUAACUUCAGGAAACUGGGGCUAAUACCGGAUAGGAGCUCCUGCUGCAUGGUGGGGGUUGGAAAGUUUCGGCGGUUGGGGAUGGACUCGCGGCUUAUCAGCUUGUUGGUGGGGUAGUGGCUUACCAAGGCUUUGACGGGUAGCCGGCCUGGGAGGGUGACCGGCCACAUUGGGACUGAGAUACGGCCCAGACUCCUACGGGAGGCAGCAGUGGGGAAUAUUGCACAAUGGGCGGAAGCCUGAUGCAGAAACGCCGCGUGCGGGAUGACGGCCUUCGGGUUGUAAACCGCUUUCGCCUGUGACGAAGCGUGAGUGACGGUAAUGGGUAAAGAAGCACCGGCUAACUACGUG
Molecule: ribosomal RNA, 468 nt
Filed under: uncultured bacterium
Lineage: Bacteria
Description: partial 16S ribosomal RNA
Rfam family: Bacterial small subunit ribosomal RNA
Source: RNAcentral